UAAAGGCCAGGGGCAGAAGGGGGUGGGAAGAACCCGGCCGCCCCGCGCGCCCCCGCUGCCGGGGUGAGCGCACGUGGGCGCCGAGCGCGGGGCCGCGCGCCCACCAUGAACUCCAGCGGCCCGGGUUACCCGCUCGCCUCGCUCUACGCGGGCGACCUGCACCCCGACGUGACUGAGGCCAUGCUCUACGAGAAGUUCUCGCCCGCUGGCCCCAUCCUGUCCAUCCGUGUGUGCCGCGACGUGGCCACCCGCCGCUCGCUGGGCUACGCCUACAUCAACUUCCAGCAGCCGGCCGACGCGGAGCGGGCACUGGACACAAUGAACUUUGAGGUGAUCAAAGGCCAGCCCAUCCGCAUCAUGUGGUCCCAACGAGACCCAGGACUUCGCAAGUCGGGUGUCGGCAACAUCUUCAUCAAGAACCUGGAAGACUCCAUUGACAACAAGGCCUUGUACGACACCUUCUCCACCUUUGGGAACAUCCUCUCUUGCAAGGUGGUGUGUGAUGAUCAUGGCUCCCGAGGCUUUGGCUUUGUGCAUUUUGAGACCCACGAGGCUGCACAGAACGCCAUCAGCACCAUGAACGGGAUGCUGCUGAAUGACCGCAAAGUCUUCGUUGGCCACUUCAAGCCCCGACGGGAGCGGGAUGCAGAGCUGGGAGCUCGGGCCAUGGAGUUCACCAAUAUCUACGUGAAGAACCUCCACGUGGACGUGGAUGAGCAGUGCCUGCAGGACCUCUUCUCCCAGUUUGGGAAGAUACUGAGUGUCAAGGUGAUGAGGGAUGACGGCGGCCACUCCCGCGGCUUUGGCUUUGUCAACUUUGAGACGCAUGAGGAAGCCCAGAAGGCUGUGAUGGACAUGAACGGGAGGGAGGUGAGUGGACGGCUGCUCUACGUAGGCCGGGCCCAGAAGCGGGUGGAGCGGCAGAAUGAGCUGAAGCGCAGGUUCGAGCAGAUGAAGCAGGACCGGCUGACCCGUUACCAGGGCGUGAACCUAUAUGUGAAGAACUUGGAUGACUCCAUCGAUGAUGAGAAACUGAGGAAAGAGUUCUCUCCCUAUGGAGUGAUCACCAGUGCCAAGGUGAUGACAGAGGGUGGCCACAGCAAAGGGUUUGGCUUUGUGUGUUUUUCCUCUCCAGAAGAGGCGACGAAGGCCGUGACAGAGAUGAACGGGCGCAUCGUGGGGACCAAGCCACUGUACGUGGCACUGGCCCAGCGCAAGGAGGAGCGGAAGGCCAUCCUGACCAACCAGUACAUGCAGCGCCUCUCCACCAUGCGGGCCCUGGGCAGCCCCCUCCUGGGCUCCUUCCAGCAGCCUGCCAGCUACUUCCUGCCCGCUACGCCCCAGCCUCCAGCCCAGGCCCCAUACUAUGGCUCUGGCCCACCUGUCCAGCCUGCCCCCAGGUGGACGGCCCAGCUACCCAGACCCUCGUCCGCCUACCCGCCUGCGGCCUCGGUUGUCCAGCCAGCAGCCGUGUCUCGGCGCCCCUCGUUCCCCAUCGGCAGUGCCAGGCAGAUCUCCACCCACGUGCCGCGCCUGGUGCCCCACGCCCAGGGAGUGGCCAACAUCGGUACCCAGACCACAGGGCCCGGUAUGGCAGGAUGCUCUUCACCAAGGGGGCCUCUCCUGACACACAGAUGUUCCUUGGCAACACACAACACCCACCGGGUCCAGGAGCCUGCUGUGUGUGUCCCCGGACAGGAGCCCCUGACUGCGUCCAUGCUGGCCGCAGCGCCGCUGCACGAGCAGAAGCAGAUGAUCGGUGAGCGUCUCUACCCCCUCAUCUACAAUGUCCACACCCAGCUGGCUGGCAAGAUCACGGGCAUGCUGCUGGAGAUCGACAACUCGGAGCUGCUGCUCCUGCUGGAGUCCCCAGAGUCCCUCAGCGCCAAGGUGGGCUGGAGCCUGCGAGGAGCGGGGAGGCCUGGGGGCAGAGGAGGGUUACGGAUCAAGGCCUCUCCUAGGCGAGCUGGUAGGCUGCUGCUUAGACAGGUGAAGUGUAUCUUCUUGCUGAAAUCAGCUAACACCCGCAGAAUGUGGAGGUGGCAGAGGGCCUUAGUGAGGGGCCGGCUACUUCAGCCCCUGCGGCCUCCCUGCAGCUCCCCAGGCAAGACUGUGCGACAGGGCGCUGUGUUCUGACCCAGCCCAAGGGUUAGGGUUCCCCCAGCCGUCUGGCAGUGUAGAAGGUGGCCGUGGGUUUCUGCCAUGGGAGCCAGUGAGCACAGUCAGAGGGGGCGGCGGGGCUGGGCGCGGGCCUUCUCGUGUCCGGUGGGCCAAGGCGGGGAGGCAGGGCUCUCCCAGGACCCUGCUGGGGCAGCUGCACCAACCCCUCCCCCGUGUGUCCCACAGGUCGAAGAGGCCCUGGCGGUGUUGCAGGACCACCAGGCCACGGAGCAGACCUGAGUGCACGUGCGCCGGGACCAGAAAAUGGACUCCUUACUCCCUUGGCUGACAAGAGAACCGCGUUUCCUGCUCUUGGCUCUAAGGCCCUGUGAACCGUAACUUCCCAACUGGGCUGUAUCUGCACUUGAGCUUUUUGUGGAAUGAAGGCUGGUCGCCCAGCCAGCCUCUUACCUGUUGCUUUGUGCAUUAAAAGUGCUGC
Molecule: RNA transcript, 2599 nt
Organism: Globicephala melas (long-finned pilot whale)
Lineage: Eukaryota; Metazoa; Chordata; Mammalia; Artiodactyla; Delphinidae
Gene: PABPC1L
Gene name: poly(A) binding protein cytoplasmic 1 like
Source: RefSeq, a predicted model, not a curated record